CAGUCGCCGCGGGAAUACGAGGGGGGCAAGCGUUGUUCGGAAUUAUUGGGCGUAAAGCGUGCGCAGGCGGUUAUAUAAGUCAGAUGUGAAAUCCCCGGGCUCAACCUGGGAACUGCAUUUGAGACUGUAUGGCUAGAGUGUGUCAGAGGGGGGUAGAAUUCCACGUGUAGCAGUGAAAUGCGUAGAUAUGUGGAGGAAUACCGAUGGCGAAGGUAGCCCCCUGGGAUAACACUGACGCUCACGCACGAAAGCGUGGGGAGCAAACAGGAUUAGAUACCCGCGUAGUCCCUGUCUCUUAUAC
RNAcentral lists this ribosomal RNA (301 nucleotides) under uncultured bacterium. RNAcentral's name for it is "partial 16S ribosomal RNA". It matches the Rfam family "Bacterial small subunit ribosomal RNA", at positions 509 to 807 of the family's 1533-position model. The record is from RNAcentral.